UUCUAACUGCUAGAUGAGCAGGAGUUGGAGUGAAUGAUGAGAGCUCACCCAUCACACAGCAGCACUCGGGUCUCAAACAUGGUUGAUUGUCAACCCAGCAUCUUAACCACAUGAGCUACCGCACUCCCACACACAACUUUUAAAAAACUACAGGUUAGAAAAUCAAAGUGAUUGCUGGAUACCUAGAAUGCUGCAAUGCCUACCGUUGUCCCAGGCAUUAAGAACGCAGGAAGAAGCCGAUACCACACAUCACACUUCCAUUCUUCCAUUUUUCAAAAACUAAAACUUUUUUCUGUAUUUUCCAAAGAAGAUAUAUAAUAUUGGUUUCCUGUCUUUAUCCACUCUAAUAAAAAAUAAUGACUCAA
This is a long non-coding RNA of Pantherophis guttatus, 365 nucleotides long. RefSeq lists it as uncharacterized. The record is from RefSeq and is a predicted model, not a curated record. Lineage: Eukaryota; Metazoa; Chordata; Lepidosauria; Squamata; Colubridae.